Molecule: ribosomal RNA, 468 nt
Filed under: uncultured bacterium
Lineage: Bacteria
Description: partial 16S ribosomal RNA
Rfam family: Bacterial small subunit ribosomal RNA
Source: RNAcentral
GACGAACGCUGGCGGCGUGCUUAACACAUGCAAGUCGAACGGAAAGGCCCUGCUUUUGUGGGGUGCUCGAGUGGCGAACGGGUGAGUAACACGUGAGUAACCUGCCCUUGACUUUGGGAUAACUUCAGGAAACUGGGGCUAAUACCGGAUAGGAGCUCCUGCUGCAUGGUGGGGGUUGGAAAGUUUCGGCGGUUGGGGAUGGACUCGCGGCUUAUCAGCUUGUUGGUGGGGUAGUGGCUUACCAAGGCUUUGACGGGUAGCCGGCCGGAGAGGGUGACCGGCCACAUUGGGACUGAGAUACGGCCCAGACUCCUAUGGGAGGCAGCAGUGGGGAAUAUUGCACAAUGGGCGGAAGCCUGAUGCAGCAACGCCGCGUGCGGGAUGACGGCCUUCGGGUUGUAAACCGCUUUCGCCUGUGACGAAGCGUGAGUGACGGUAAUGGGUAAAGAAGCACCGGCUAACUACGUG